This 432-nucleotide ribosomal RNA is filed under the name uncultured bacterium. Its description in RNAcentral is "bacterial SSU rRNA". It matches the Rfam family "Bacterial small subunit ribosomal RNA", at positions 335 to 755 of the family's 1533-position model. The record is from RNAcentral.
ACUCCUACGGGAGGCAGCAGUGGGAAUAUUGCACAAUGGGCGCAAGCCUGAUGCAGCCAUGCCGCGUGUGUGAAGAAGGCCUUCGGGUUGUAAAGCACUUUCAGUUGUGAGGAAAGGUUAGUCGCUAAUAUCGGCUAGCUGUGACGUUAGCAACAGAAGAAGCACCGGCUAACUCCGUGCCAGCAGCCGCGGGUAAUACGGAGGGUGCGAGCGUUAAGUCGGAAUUAACUGGGCGUAAAGCGUGCGCAGGCGGUCUGUUAAGCGAGAUGUGAAAGCCCCGGGCUCAACCUGGGAACUGCAUUUCGAACUGGCAGACUAGGAGUCUUGUAGAGGGGGGUAGAAUUCCAGGUGUAGCGGUGAAAUGCGUAGAGAUCCUGGAGGAAUACCGGUGGCGAAGGCGGCCCCCUGGACAAAGACUGACGCUCAGGCACG